UACUAGAGUAGCACUCGCAUAUCAAUAAGCGGAGGAAAAGAAACUAACAAGGAUUCCCCUAGUAACGGCGAGUGAAGCGGGAAGAGCUCAAAUUUGAAAUCUUAAAGGGUUUCCCUUUACGAAUUGUAGUUUAAAGAAGUGUUUUCUGUUGAGGUUUUGGUAAAAGUUCUUUGGAAUAGGACAUCAUAGAGGGUGAGAAUCCCGUAUUUGACCUUUACUUUCAACUUUGUGAUACACUUUCAAAGAGUCGGAUUGUUUGGGAAUGCAGUCCAAAAUGGGUGGUAAAUUUCAUCUAAAGCUAAAUAUUGGCGAGAGACCGAUAGCGAACAAGUACCGUGAGGGAAAGAUGAAAAGAACUUUGAAAAGAGAGUUAAAGCAGUACGUGAAAUUGUCAAAAGGGAAGCGUUUGACACCAGUGUUGUUUUUCUGAAAAUCAAUUAAAGAACUGUUUAUGCUAAGCUGUUUAGACUUUAUCAGCUAUCUGUUUAGUUUUAGGCUUUUCUUUAAUGCACUUUUCAGUUAACAAGUCAACAUCAAUUUCUUUUGCUGUAAAAAAGCUUGAGGAAGGUGGCUUGAGAUUCGUCUUAAGUGUUUAUAGCCUCUUGCCUAUGCAGUCGGAGAGGAUUGAGGUCUGCAGCGUAGAUCCUUCGGGGCUAAAUGCAUUUGUGCUAAGUUAUAGCAUUUUAUAGACAACUUGUUGACUAUGAUUUGUCUUGUAGCUUACUCGCUUAUGUUAUUUUACCUACGCUUAGGAUGUUGAACUACUGAGACAUAGA
RNAcentral lists this ribosomal RNA (776 nucleotides) under uncultured Neocallimastigales. RNAcentral describes it as "partial large subunit ribosomal RNA". It matches the Rfam family "Eukaryotic large subunit ribosomal RNA", at positions 20 to 644 of the family's 3401-position model. Lineage: Eukaryota; Fungi; Neocallimastigomycota; Neocallimastigomycetes; Neocallimastigales. The record is from RNAcentral.